CAUACUGCUUUGAUUUUUGUAGCUCUGAGGUAUAGUCUGAAGUCUGGAAGUGGAUACUUUCAGCUUUCUUCUUCUUUCUCAAGAUUAUUUUGGCUAGUUAGGGUCUUUUAUGUUUCCAUACAAAUUUUAAAUUCUUUAAAAAAUGCCAUUGGUAUUUGGUAAGGAUUGCACUGAAUCUGUAGAUUGCCUUGAGCAGUAUAGUCAUUUUUCACAGCAGUAAUUCUUCCAGUCCAUGAACACAUUAUAUCUUUCCAUCUGUUUGUGUUGAAUUCAGUUUCUUUCAUCACUGUCAAUUUUUUGAGUACAGGUUUUUUACCUCGUUAGGCAGGUUUAUUCCUAGGUAUUUUAUUCUUUUUGACACAGUUGUAAAUGAGAUUGUUCCCUUAAUUUCUCCAUCUUAUGGUUCAUUGUCAGUGUGUGUAAAUGCAAUGGUUCAUUGUUAGUAUGUAGAAAUACAACAGAUUUCUGUAUCUUAAUUUUGUAUUCUGCAACUUUACUGAAUUCAUUGAUGAUGAGUGUUGGUAGCGUUUUGGUGGCAUUUUUAGGAUUUCUAUGUAUAGUAUCCUGUCAUCUACAAACUGUGACAAUUUUACUUUUUCCUUUCCAAUUUGGAUUUUUUAAAAUUCUGUUUUUUUCUAUGACUGCUGUGGGUAGGACUUCCAAUAAUAUGUUGAAUAAAAGUGGUUAGAGUAGGCAUCCUUGUCGUUUCUGAUCUUAGAGGAAAUGCUUUCAUCUUUUCACCACUGAGUGUGAGGUUAAUUGUGGGACUCUCAGUUCAUGAAUAUCUAUUUAUUUAGGGUCAGUUAUCAGAGAUUUAUUCAUUUCCUUUUGUUAUGUCUUAUUUACCUGACCUCCAUGAUUCCUGAUUUGUUCUCUUGGUAUGUGUACACUUGAGUUAGAAAUCUCCUCCUACCUUCUCAACUCUGUGGUCCAGGUUGAUGCUUCAGCCUCAUGCUGACAUUUUCACAAUGUGUUCUGACAUUUUCACAAUGGAGCCUUGAUUGUUGAUAGUCCUCACAAACAUUAGUGUCAAAGGAAAACUUGACUGGGUCUUCAAAGUCUAGAUGGAAAGGAAUCUGAAAGAUUGGGAAGUUUGACUCUAUCAAUAGAGGAGCACAUUUAAAGCUUGGGAAUAUGGGAACUAUGGGUUUCCUUUAUAUUGUGAGAAAUAUUAAGGGCAUGGGAGAGGAACUCUAUGAAGGAAGUGGUAGAUGCUAGGACAUUUAUGAUGGCAUAUUUAGGAGGCUAUAGGAGUGAUGGGCCUUGAAUGUGAACCCACGUGUAGUCAGCAACCUCCUUACAGAGGAUGCUCAUGUCUGUCAACCCCUUAUCCUAGUGUCCACAGCUGAAAGGUCCGGUCAUGUUCUCCUCUCUGACUCCCCUGACUUCAUAAGACAUGUCUUAUGUCUCUGAGUGUAUCAUCUUCUCCUCUCCAGGGCACGAAGGGAGGGCAUUAACUAUGGGGCACCUGAGCCUUUACCAGGGACCGGGCCCUGUGCUGAGCACAUUGAAGCAGUGACCAUUACCUUCAUGGCAGCUCGUAGAGGUGGUACCAUUAUCCCUGCCUUUUCAAUGAAGAAUUUGAAGCAUAAAGAGUUUAUUUAACAACUAGUGAGUUGGGAGGCAGGAUUGUAUUCAUACUUCAAAGUUAUGGGCAAUUUUCAAAAAUCAGAAUUUGACUAAGACCCCGGGCAUCCCAGGCAUUGGUGACAGAUGAAGACCCAUCUGUGGGGAAUGGGACUCAUCAUGUCUACUUCCAGAGGACACCAGGGUGCUUUGUUCUGGCAGCACUGGCCUAGCAAUGUCACAUUCAGUGGAGUAGUGCUUGCCAAGUGAACUCUCUUGCUUAUGAGCAACAAAUUCCAGCUCCCUCUGAGUAUAAACCAAGACUCAAUAUAUAUGUUCAAAUCUGUACACAGAGGGAUCAUAACAAUCUUGGGUUUUUGGUGCUUUAGAUGCUGGGUUAUGGGGGUGGGAGGGACAGAGUAGUCCUGCAGAGCUCCUGGGAAGGGGAAGAGAUCAAUGGCAGCACCCUGGAGGGUGGUUGAGAGCAUAUGGGUGGGGGGUGUUGAAAAUGUGAGCAGCAGCUAUUGAGAGGGAAGCACUCCUGGCUGGGUGGAAGGCAGAUCUUUGGGCCGCAGAGCAUUUGGGCGCAGGUGGGAUUCAUUAAGGAGAAGCUGACGCACCUUCUCUGUAAGUAGGAGAAAAGAGAGAUUAGUGAGAAGGCCCUGAAAUUAGGAGGAGAAGGCUGUGUUUCCUAGGCUCUGGGGAUCAGGCCCAAUACCAUUUUGGAUCCCCAGGGUGGGCUUUCUUGAUGCCCUUCCUCUCCCUGGGUGCUGGCCUCUAGCCUGUGUUCCUAUUUAUAGACUCUGUUCAAGCACCAGACAUCUGACUUCCCUUCCCCAGGGAACCCAACUGUUCUGACCCUGACUCUAUCUGCUCUGGUGUUGAACUUGUCUGCUCCCCUCUGGACUGAGUCUGGGGAGCAAGAACAAGGGCUGACAGUCACUGUAGCACCAGCACUGCUCAGGCUCUCUUGUUGAGUGUGUGCUGAAGGGAUGAGUCCUUACAACCCUCAGGCUGGACUCCAGGCCCACAGAACAAGAACAGGAGGGGAUGCCUUAGAUGGGUGAUGGGCUGUGGAGGCACAUGGAUCCCUUGGUUUGGGUAGAGAUCACUGCGGACCCUUUUGGGCAGUGUAAUCUGUCUGAAGCUCCAACUGUCCCUGGCUUUGCUUUCAUCUCUCCCCUGUCCCCAGCUGAGUGCCCUGGAUGUGACAAGGAGGGUGGCCUGGGCACACUGAUGAGCUGAUAGCAUCUGGGCUGCUUGGGAUGCAGGUAAUCAGAUAAAAAUCUACCUUUGAACAACUAAGUUUCCCAUUUUAAGUUUUUAUAUAGGCUGUUACCUCUUUUGGGGGUGUCCUUCCUUACCUUGUUUUCCUAGUGACCUCUACUUACAUUUUAAGACUUAUUCCAAGCCGUACCUCCUCCAUGAAUCCUCUUAACCUCAUUUUGAACAAAAUGACUGUUCCUGCUCAGCAUUUAUUAUGAGUCCUGCAAUCGCAUUUUUUUCUAGUAAGGAGAUUGAGCUCUGUGACUCUUUCAUUACUUCUCUGUCCCUGGGGUGUUGUGACAACUGGGGGUCGGGGAAGUUGAGCUCCUGUCCUCUGGUCUGGCCAGCCUAAAGGGAGACUGCUGGGAAGCGUGUCACACUGAUUGCUGAGGUCACAUAUUCCAGUCCAACAAAAGACUGAACUGCCAUGCAAAUCAAUUCCUGUCCCGCCCCCCCACCAGAAUAAAUCCUUUGCAUGAUGUCUUUAGCCCAAACUGGGCCUAGGUGAGAAGGCUUCUGAAGUACGCCAGGAGGCUGAAACCCAUCAGCCCAUCCUUACUUUACAGGCAUCCUCCCUGGAACUGUAUCACCUUCAGGGGUAAAAAUUGCUACGCCUCCCUUUCUGGCAUGGGUGGUAUGACAUGAGCCAGGAAAGGGUGGGCCCUUGUCCUGCUCAGCUUCUUCCCACUCGGCAGUAGGGUCUCUGAUGAUGCUGAGAGGGUCCACCUCUGCUAGGCACUGUGUGAGGAGGACGUGCCGGCUAUGGGGCCCGAGGGUCCUGGGACUUGCCAACUACUGACCACUGGCCUCUCUCCAUGGCUUCCACCAACCGCAGUGCCAGGGGUCUGUCUCCUGGCCACCACCUCCUUCCAGGCAUGGUCCAAGUCAGACCAUAUUUGUCUUCUUCCCUUCCCCUUUAAGUUUCUCUUCCUUCAUUCCCAAGAGCUCCACGUUCAUUUUUCACACUAGCUGCUUUCACACACUGCAUCUUAUUUACUUCUCCGGGGAAAGCCCUACAGGAGCACAGGUUGAAGUGCCACAAGUUGAAACAGAAUCCUGUGGUGACUGGCGACACUCCUGGGUUGGGGCUGAAGAGGUUCCCUUUCCAACUGUGACCAGGGAGGGUCUGACAAGGUGGGGACCCAGCAGACAAGCUCC
RNAcentral lists this long non-coding RNA (3990 nucleotides) under Sus scrofa (pig). Its description in RNAcentral is "lncRNA (ENSSSCG00005031737.1)". Lineage: Eukaryota; Metazoa; Chordata; Mammalia; Artiodactyla; Suidae. The record is from RNAcentral.